CUUUUUUAUUGACUUUCUGACCA
Molecule: non-coding RNA, 23 nt
Filed under: Arabidopsis thaliana (thale cress)
Lineage: Eukaryota; Viridiplantae; Streptophyta; Magnoliopsida; Brassicales; Brassicaceae
Source: RNAcentral